GUGACUGCGUACCUUGUGUAUAAUGGGUCAGCGACUUAUAUUCUGUAGCAAGGUUAACCGUAUAGGGGAGCCGUAGGGAAACCGAGUCUUAACCGGGCGUUAAGUUGCAGGGUAUAGACCCGAAACCCGGUGAUCUAGCCAUGGGCAGGUUGAAGGUUGGGUAACACUAACUGGAGGACCGAACCGACUAAUGUUGAAAAAUUAGCGGAUGACCUGUGGCUGGGGGUGAAAGGCCAAUCAAACCGGGAGAUAGCUGGUUCUCCCCGAAAGCUAUUUAGGUAGCGCCUCGUGAAUUCAUCUCCGGGGGUAGAGCACUGUUUCGGCUAGGGGGCCAUCCCGGCUUACCAACCCGAUGCAAACUGCGAAUACCGGAGAAUGUUAUCACGGGAGACACACGGCGGGUGCUAACGUCCGUCGUGAAGAGGGAAACAACCCAGACCGCCAGCUAAGGUCCCAAAGUCAUGGUUAAGUGGGAAACGAUGUGGGAAGGCCCAGACAGCCAGGAUGUUGGCUUAGAAGCAGCCAUCAUUUAAAGAAAGCGUAAUAGCUCACUGGUCGAGUCGGCCUGCGCGGAAGAUGUAACGGGGCUAAACCAUGCACCGAAGCUGCGGCAGCGA
This 617-nucleotide ribosomal RNA is filed under the name Salmonella enterica subsp. enterica serovar Mbandaka. Its description in RNAcentral is "partial 23S ribosomal RNA". It matches the Rfam family "Bacterial large subunit ribosomal RNA", at positions 593 to 1211 of the family's 2925-position model. Lineage: Bacteria; Pseudomonadati; Pseudomonadota; Gammaproteobacteria; Enterobacterales; Enterobacteriaceae. The record is from RNAcentral.